This is a small nuclear RNA of Camelus dromedarius (Arabian camel), 111 nucleotides long. The record is from Ensembl. NCBI's taxonomy places the organism in Eukaryota, Metazoa, Chordata, Mammalia, Artiodactyla, Camelidae.
UCCAGUGCUUGGUUUGGCUGGACAUGGGCUAAAAUUGAGACUACACACCGAAGAUUAGCAUGGCCCCUGUGAGCGGAGGACAAGGAAAUUUGUGUGGUUUCACAUUUUUAA